Papaver somniferum (opium poppy) is the source of this 2286-nucleotide long non-coding RNA. RefSeq lists it as uncharacterized. The record is from RefSeq and is a predicted model, not a curated record. The transcript has 4 exons. NCBI's taxonomy places the organism in Eukaryota, Viridiplantae, Streptophyta, Magnoliopsida, Ranunculales, Papaveraceae.
GAUUUUUAUUUUGGGGAUAAAGAAGUUGAAUUGGAUUGAAGGGGGACAGAAAAUUGGGAAAGUUUGGGGAUGAGAAGCAGUUUGUUAAAUUAAUUAAUGCUUUUUCCAUCAAUGUAUACAUUUUCGUUAGGAUUUUACUAACACCAGUCCCAUAAUGCAUUCGUCUAAUGUGCAUCGAGGAUGAGCCUUCUCAAAUUGCGUCCGUUACGUUUAAAAGAGUGCUCUUUUUCUUUCCGUACGUAUGAUAUUCUUCCUUCUCUCCGGGUCAAGCCAGUAGUAGUUUGGUAAAGUAGAUGAAUAGUUGGGUAUACCGAGUAGUGAUUGUAAGUGUAUUAAUCUUUUAACAUGCAAAAUUCACAAAACCAGGAUAUGUCGCUAGUUUCUGAGUCCUUAUGCAAGUGUUAGUCGUAUGGUAUUUUGGGUAUAGCUGUCCGAUGCAUUGGUAAAUGUGGGCAUGUGGAUGUCUAAUAUUUGAAGAUUUUUCUUAUUAUCUAUAAGUCUUAUACUGUGUUUUUGGUAUGAAUCUUUAUGGAGUAUAUGAAUCAGAUUUUCGUGUGAUUCAGUUUCAAGGAUGUUUAAGUCAGCCUACACCCUUGAUAGAGCUCUUAUGUUGGAUGAGUGCAGACCUUGACGUGGGUAAUAUGCCCUUCUACAUAAAAUUCCUAUAUCUUGGUCGCACUAGACUUUAAGCAUUAUCCUUUUAUUUUGAGUUGGUUCUUUCAUACGGACAUCAGCAAAUAACCUGAAACUUAUUAUUCAAUGUGUUCAUACUUGCUUAAUUUUUUCCUACCCAUUACCUUAUUUUUAUUUUUACGCUCGAAAAUUUAAAGACUGAUAUAUGUACACAUUGUUUUCCUUCCAAUAGGAAUUCAACUGCUUAGAGGCUGCCAUCCGAAGUCUCCCUUAAAGGAAGACCGCAAGUGGGAAGAUCCAGAAUGUGUUGGCGGCCACAAGUGGUCUGUAUCAAGCAAAAAGAUUCAGGAUGUAUUGGGAGGGAAAUACUUUAGGGUGGAAAAAUGAUCCUGAAGAAGCCCUUUCUGUAGCUUUAUGCAUGAAUGACAAGCAGUAUAUACAAUAGAAUUCCAGAACAGAGGAUUGCCGCAUGCUCACAUUUUACUAUGGCUACAUCCAAAUAAUAAUCCAAGAUGGCCGAAGAUGUGGACCGUAUUAUUUCCACAGAGUUGCCAGAUAAAGACAAGGAUCAUGUAUGCUAAGUCAUCACGUCCAUCUAGGCUGCAUGGAAUCUCUACGAUCAUGAAUGGGUUAAAAUGUUUACAUCCUCUCCUUGGUUUGUAUAAGAAUCAGUACCCUUGGUUUGUAUAGAGAAGUUGUUGUUGCUUUUUCCAGUGAAUGCAGCAAGGCCAAGAAACAAGUUUCACCUGUUAAGAGUGCUUGCAAGACUGCAAAGAGCCCUCUCAAAUCUGGAAAUAGUGGACUUAAGUCUGCAAUUAUGAAUUGCAAUGGGUCAGCUUCUAAAUCAGCUGACUUGAACAUAGACCUUUCCAUUUGGCUAGUGAUUUUCCCUACCAAUGGAAAGAUUUGAUUGAUGCAAAGGUUUCAACCUCAGAUGGUGAGUUAUCUGCACCAGCAAAAGGAAGCAGCAAGGGUGUCCAAGCUGAAAAAGUUAAAGGUUCUGCUUCAGUCACUGCAAAAGCUACUUCGGAGCAUGUGCGGAUGAUGGGUGGUGCUGAAGCUAAGGGGAAUUCUAAUCCCUUUAUCGUAUCGGGUUACCUCGGCUUCAUACCAGACAAAAAGCAGACGGAGACAGGAAAACUAGGAGCUAAGGAAAAGAGUGAAAACCCAGUCUUGACAGGUGACAAAGAUGGUAAGUGGGAAGUAGCUUUAAGCAGAAAAUCCCUGCUAAGAAAUCUACUGAUGCUAAGAGCAGAGAAACUUCUGCCACAGUGAGCACUUAUAACACAUUCAUAGUUUUGAACUCCCGAGACAAAGAUGGAGAAACAUCUAUGAUGAUGGAAGCGAAGAGUUCGUUGAGGUCUCUGACAAAUAUGCUCAUUAUUUGAGAUAUGAAGAAAAAGCCGGAAGGAAAACCGACAGAGAGCUUUCAAAGCUCAAAUGGAAUGGGGAAAAUUCCCGAUAAAAGUAAUCUGGAAAAUUUGGGUAAAGGCCAGAGAUCCGUAGCUAGAAAACACAAGUAACUUUGUUCUCCUUUUCCAGCAUGUUUGGUUUUAUACUUUUAUGUUUUGUUUGUGUUGGGGAGUUCGAUUACGGACCCUCUGUCAUGUUUUGCUUGCUUUGUUGUUGUUUGCUUUGCAAGCACCCUUUGUA